RNAcentral lists this small RNA (33 nucleotides) under Arabidopsis thaliana (thale cress). Its description in RNAcentral is "ATSL136670". Lineage: Eukaryota; Viridiplantae; Streptophyta; Magnoliopsida; Brassicales; Brassicaceae. The record is from RNAcentral.
UCUGCAUUGACCCAAGAUCAUGUACAAUAUUCA